AAUCAACGCUGGCGGCGUGCCUCAGACAUGCAAGUCGAACGCGAAAGGUUCCUUCGGGAACCGAGUAGAGUGGCGCACGGGUGAGUAACACGUAGGUAAUUUGCCUUUGGGUGGGGAAUAACAGCCGGAAACGGCUGCUAAUACCGCAUAAUGCAGCGGCUCGACAUCGAGACAGUUGUUAAAGCGGGGGAUCGCAAGACCUCGCGCCUAAAGAGAAGCCUGCGGCAGAUUAGCUAGUUGGUAGGGUAAUGGCCUACCAAGGCGACGAUCUGUAACCGGCCUGAGAGGGCGGUCGGUCACACUGACACUGACA
Molecule: ribosomal RNA, 313 nt
Filed under: uncultured bacterium
Lineage: Bacteria
Description: bacterial SSU rRNA
Rfam family: Bacterial small subunit ribosomal RNA
Source: RNAcentral